Molecule: long non-coding RNA, 4279 nt
Organism: Parus major (Great Tit)
Lineage: Eukaryota; Metazoa; Chordata; Aves; Passeriformes; Paridae
Exons: 2
Source: RefSeq, a predicted model, not a curated record
GGGCCCGCCGCCACCGCCAGGGGGCGCCCCUCGGCCGCCGCCACCGGAGCGGGACCCCCGGGAUGAGAGACCGGGAGGGGAACGGGAUGGGAUGGACGGGACACGGAAUGGGCGGCACCGGGAGGGGAGCGGGAUGGGAUGGACGGGGAUACGGGGCCGUGUGGCACCAGGGAGUCUGCACGGAACCGGGGGAUGGAGUGGGACACGAGGCUGCGUGACACCGACACUCUGCACGGGGACAUGGGGCUGCCCAGGGAGCACGUGGGACCUGGUGACACUUUGGGGACUGGAAGGCCGCGCACGGUGGUGGGCUGGGAGAGCGGCGGCUCUGCCAGGCGGAGUCACCCGGCACGGCUCUGCUGCCACAGAACAGCUGCGUGGCCACUGGGCAGCCAGAGCGUGGUCCUGCUGUGGCUGAGGCACCGACACUGUGUGGCCACUGCAUAGCCCUGUGUGACCACUGCAUGGCCACUGUGUCACCACUGCAUGGCCUCUGUGUGACCACUGCACGGCCACUGUGUCACCACUGCAUGGCCAAGUAAAUGCCAAUCCCAUGGCCACUGAGUGACCUUUCUACAGGUAGUAAAUGAUCACCACAAGGCCACCAAGUGACCAUUCUAUGGUCACUAAAUGACCAUCACAUGGCCGCUGUGGGGCCACCACACGGUCCCCAAAUGAUCACUGCACGGUCACUGCACAGCCCAGCUCCCCUCGCUGACGGGUCACAGCAGGAGGUGCUGCAGAAUCCUGACCCAGCCCCUCCAGCCCCAGCUCCAGUUUUCCAUCCCUUGCUCCCAGAGGGUUCCCAGAGGAGCUGUGCUUCUCCAGGUCCUGCUGCCCUCAUUCCCACGGGGACCUUUGGCCUUGGUCCCGGUGGCACGGGAGCACCAGAGGAAAAUCCACCCGGCCCAGCUGCACUCCCACCUCGCCAGAGCCCGGCUCUGCACGGCUGGCAGUGCAUGGCACACACAAAUGCCAGCACCACGUGUGUUGGGGACACCUGGACACGCGGUUCCCAGCACAGGUCGGGGUGUUGUGGAUCCUCAGCGUCAGCCAGGCAGCCCAAGAGCAUUCCCGGAGUUCUGGGCUGCCAGGACAGGGCUCCUUCGGGAUCAGGCUGGGAGAGCAGGGGGGUGACCAUGGGGGUGACCACGCUCUCAGCCCGGCCACCCGUGUCACACACCCGAGUGCAAACCUCAAACCACCACAAACCCCUCCUGUGAGUGCCCAGCAGCGCCACCAGCCUGGCGAUGACCGAGCCCCUGUGACCUGCCAGGCCACCAGCGUGUCACAGGGACCUGCUGGGAGCUGUCCCCACCUCUCCUUCAUUUGGGGUGCGGCUGAAGGACAGCACCAAACACCCCCUGCCCUGGUCCCUGGUGCCCAGGAGCAGCUCCAGCGCUGUCGGGACGGGCAGGUGGCACUGUCACCUCCCAGGACAGCAGCGGGGGCAGAGCCUCUGCGUCCCCCCCGGCGGCGUUUGGGUGGCGGGGGCUGCCGCGUUCCUAUUCCACGCACGCAGCCUGUAAUUUUGGUCUAUUGAAGUCAUAAUUCACUACUGUGAAAAUAAACAUUUGUGUUAGCUCGCUUUAUUCGGCGGGGUUCGGCUGAAUGUUAAUAAUUCCCCGCCGGCGGCUUUGCACGUGGCCUGGGACGCUGGGACAAAGCCCCGGCACCCGUGGCCGUGGCCGUGGCCACCUCCUUGCAGGCUUUGGGCGAGUUCUCACCCUCCUUUGUACCCUAUCCCUGGGAUCCUCUGCAUCCUGAAGGAGACAGAAAAAAAAAAAAGAGCCACUUUCUAAUCCAGCGAUAAUGAGGAAGAUAAACGUAAAUUUUAAACAAUACCCGGAGUCCAGCACCUACUCAGCCCCUUCCCUACCCAUCCCUGCCGCGGGGUUUGUGCCCUUGUGCUGUUUUGUGGAUGCUCCCAGCACAUCAAAGACAUCCCGGCACCCACCCCUUGCCAUCACCGUGCAGGAGGACGCCUGUCCCCCGGCACCCCCGGCUGUCCCCAGGGCUGUCCCCGGAUCUGUCCCCGCUGGGUGCAAGGGGCUGCCGCUUCCCCUCGGCAUUUGCAUCUUCCCAGCCUUUAUCUUUCUCCCGGUCUCUGUAUUGCUGCAAUUACAGACACUUUAAAACACAAUGAUCUGGCUGUUAGCGUGAUGGAUGACAGAACCUUUCUGUCUGGUUUAAAUCAUUGCUGAGAGUGAGCAAACUUCCCCGGCUUAACCCUUUCCUGCCCCAAACCCGCUCCCAGCCCGGGACUGCUGUGAGCUCCAUGGCCACGCAUCCAACACACGCCUGGGUCCCGUGGAUGGGAUGAAGGGGGAGUCUGGAUUCCUACGGGAAAACAUUCCCCCAUCCCUCAGCUCCCUGCGCUCUUGGGGCUCCCGGGGUAUCUGGGGACAGGCGAUGGGAGCAGCCCUGCCCGGCAGAGCCGGUGGCCCCGCUCCGCUGCGGUGGGAAAUGAACGGCUGGAGCGGAGAUAAGCGGCUGCCAGAGCCCGAUAACCGGCUGGAGCCAUCCCAACCCCGGGCUGGCAAUCCUUCCCCCGGCAAAUCUGGAACCGGGGCAGGAUGGGGCCCCGGUGCGUUCCCACCCGUGGGAGAGGGUGGAAACUCCUGUCCUGACUCGUGACUGAUGGCGGGGUGAGCCCGGGAUGAGCCGCACACCUUGCGGUGAUCCGUGCUGCCUUUGUUGUGGGGAGGUGACAUCUGCCACCGCCGUGCGCCCUCCCCAGCGCCCAUCCGUGCCCGCCCACCCCGCAGGUGUCCCGGUCCCACGGGAGGGUGUCACCGUCACGCAUCCCCUGUGCCCGCGGUGCUGGCUCGUGUCCCCCCUCCCUGCUGGGUGUGCGCACCGAGGGCUGCGUGGAGCGGUCUGGAGGUGCCAGGGACCCGCCCCAGGGGAAGGGACACCCCAAGGCACAGCCUGGGGGAGAAAGGGAGCGCUGAGGCCUUGGCAUGCUGCGUGCCGGGAGAUAAAGCGCUCGCUGAGGGCAGAUGAAGGCAACUGGUACCAAAACCUCCCAGGAAAUGGUCACCACCAUGUGCCAUCCGUGUGCCCCUGCACAUGACCCCCGCCCCGGGGCAACGCGGUGGGUGCCCGGCUCCCAGCGCCACCAGGGCACCCUUAGAUGUCCCCUCUUGCCUCAGCAGUGUUGGGGACGCUUUUCACACCUCGUGGGUGCCCAGCCAGCAGUGAGCCGGCGCUCUCCCUGUGCCUCCCACUGGUGAUGCGCCGUCCCCUUCUCCCGGCUCUCCCGGAGCUCCCGGCAGUGCCGGGACGAGCUGAUCGCUAUUCCGGCUGCAUCCCCUCUUCACAAGCCUCAGGCUUUUUAAGAAAGCCCCCGAUGCUGAUUUAUCACACCUCGCCCCUCUCCAGGCUGGGGGCUCAGCCUGUCCCCCGUGCCACCCCUGUGCCACCCCGGGUCCUGCCUCCGCCCUCUCUCACGGGACGAUGGCUGCAGGCCCGGGCACCGAGCCGUGCCGGAGCAGGUUUCCUGUGUCACCCCCAGCGAGUCUGUCUGUCCGUCUGGGUUUCUCAGUCUCUAUCCGUUCCCUCCCGGGGAGCAGAGCACCCCUGGGUACCUCUCUGAGCUCGGUGACAAUGAGGGCUCGCAAGCUGCAGCGGCGCAGAGCCCAACACGGCUGUGGGGUCCCCGAUCCCCCUUUCCCUGGAGCAUCCCUGCAGGGACAGGGAGCUGCAGGGCUGGGAAGGGUCGCUGUGACCGUGGAUGUUCCCAUCGCCCUGGCUGCGAGCACGGAUGUGCUGGCCCAAAUCUCAGCGCCUAAAUCCAUCCGGCGCCGGCAGCGAGCACCGGGAGCCAGGCUGCAGCCCCCGGCGCUCUUCCCUUGGCAUUUCGCUUGCAGCAGGAGCCCUGGCGCUGGAUUUUCCUGCACGUUAAUCCAUCGGGGAAUGCAGCAGGGAGAUAAGGGGCUGGUGGGGAGCCAGCGAGGAAGACGCUCGCCUGCCCGCCGGCUAUCGCCCGCCGCAGCCGCAUCCGCCCGGGGACAUCUGCUCGGCAGGAAGCGCCGUGCGCCAGCCUUUCCCAGGAAAGGGGCUUCGUUUGUGCCUGGCUUCCCUCCGUGACCACUCCUGGGGGUCCCCAGACUUGGCUCACCCACCCUGCAGCCACCGGGCUGGAAAGAGCAGCCCCACGGGCUGUGGAAGCAGAUCCAGUGGCUUUGUGGCUUUCCCACAGCUUCCACACAGAAAAGGAAAAAAGCGUAUCUCGCAUUAAAAUAAAAAAUAAAAAUAAAUAAAAUCCUGUUUUCGU